This is a long non-coding RNA of Rhododendron vialii, 1047 nucleotides long. RefSeq lists it as uncharacterized. NCBI's taxonomy places the organism in Eukaryota, Viridiplantae, Streptophyta, Magnoliopsida, Ericales, Ericaceae. The transcript has 4 exons. The record is from RefSeq and is a predicted model, not a curated record.
CAAAAAAUGAGUUUUCUCAUAACUCAUUCUGGGUGACUCCUCCCAAACAGCCCCAUGAUGAUACAUGUGCAAAUGUACUUAUUAUACUCCCUCUCUUAGGGUUCUAUUGCAGAUGCCGGCGGCACAAGUUCUGAAAAUUACCAUGUCUGGCAACGAGUCAUAUAAAGCGGUUAAAACAUCGAAAAAUCAAAGAUCCGACCGGUUUGGGACACCAAACUUCCACAAUCAUGAAGUUGGGAAAUGGAGGAAGUCAUCAACACAUGGAGUCAGUUGUUUUUCGCAAAAACAGUUUUUCAAAUCUAAGUUUAGACCUGUGGAUUCAUUAUAUCUACAGAUUAGAAAAGUGUCUUACCCUCUCCUCUUGAGUGACUGAGAUGACAGUGGGGAUGGCAGAGCUAUCUAAUAAAUUGGUUGCAUCACCACUAUCAAUACUUUAAGUACACAUUUGGUGCAGAUUGAUGGUAAACUUGUUAGAUGCGCUGAACAUAGAGAAAAUUCUCAGAGUUGUAUUGGCUAAAGAAGAAUUGAUACCUGAUGUUGAUCUUGAAGUAGUUGCUAAUAUGACUGAUGGUUAUUCAGGAAGUGACUUGAAGGUUGCUUACUAAUUUCGUUGUAAUCUGCAAUUUUUUGCCCCGUGUUUUCAAUCUUUUCAGCCUUGGUUUUAUGUAGUUCCUCUGAUUAACUUUUUGGUUGCAGAAUCUGUGUGACAGCAGCCCAUUGUCCCAUACGAGAAAUUUUGGAGAAAGAAAAGAAGGUGGUUACUGAGAAUGAAUUUGAGAAGAAGCAGCCUCCUCUGCUUCCUAUUGGACCUCCGCCACCUCCAGAUGAAGACAUGCCGCCUCUGCCUCCUCCGGAGGGGGGAGAUGUGGUUAAUGAGAAUGAAUUUGAGAAGAAGCAGCCUCCUCUGCUUCUUACUGGACCUCCGCCACCUCAAGAUGAAGACAUGCCGCCUCCUCUGCUUCCUUAUGUGUAAAACUCAUGAAUAUACAAAUCUCCCAACUCUCUCCUAAGCAUAUGCUAAUCCAAAACCAAAGAAGUAUAUUCUGA